This 1438-nucleotide long non-coding RNA is filed under the name Heterocephalus glaber (naked mole-rat). Its description in RNAcentral is "lncRNA (ENSHGLG00000047045.1)". Lineage: Eukaryota; Metazoa; Chordata; Mammalia; Rodentia; Bathyergidae. The record is from RNAcentral.
GAAAUCCCAAGCACUCACCGAGGACGCCGUAACGUCCAAAGGCUUUUUCCUCCGGUCCAUGCUCACGACGGAGGACCCGCCGCCACCUGUCUCCCCCGCAGACUUCCUAAACCCCCAUGUGGGGUACCAGGAAGUACCUUUGACUGCGACGCUGAGCUUCCAAACAAAAGAUGACUAAGACGGAAUCAGCCUCCCACUUGCUUACUCCAGAUGAGACCCUGCCUCAGGGUUCCUACCUGACCCAGGUGUGAGCUCAGUCUGUCUGAGGGUUUUGCUGAGGCAGCUGGGACAGAUGGUGCUGCUGUAGCCAUCUUGUGCUUAAGAGGAAAAGCCUGUCGAAGAAUGGAGCCCGCUUGAAGGCUAUGGAGAAGACAGGCACAGAGUGCGCUCCAGCACAGGUGUGGCUCAGCAUGGGCAGCACAGGGUAUGUCGGGGAUGCACCAUCUGUGCCAAUGCGACAGCUGCCAGCUAUCAGGAAAUUAACCAGCCCAUCACAACCAGCUGUGCAGCAGCCGCAGCAUGGGGCACGAUGCCCCCUUUCUGGCAGGGUCAUUGGUGCAGCUGCAUGGAGGACCUAUGAGGCUGGGUAUGAGCUGUCUAUGCACUUGAGGCACACAAGAGUUGCUGUUUCCUGCUGCUCCAAUAAAAAAGUGUCUUCCUGGGGAUUUGGAGAAGAAGCAAAAGCAAAUCAGACCCCAACUCUCAGGCACUCAGGAGCCUCAUUAGUGUGUGUAGUGCUCCGGUGACAGAUUGGCUUCCUCCUGCGCAGCCUCAGCACAGAGCCUGUCUGCUGACCAAACUCAACACUGCUGACCACCGGGUGCAUUGCCAAUGGAGCAGCGCAGAAGUGACCAUGUGCCAUGAGAACAAACCAGAUCCCACAGCUGGAGGAUGGUGAGCCCAGGAGCCCAACUUAUGGCCCAGGCCAGUUUGGAGCCACCUAACCCUCAACAUGGGAGAGAACCCAGUUCUCAAAGAACCAGGACGUCUUCAGUCGAUGCCAUCUUGCCAUUGAGUGCCACAGCGUCACGGGACCCUUGAGGCCUCAGCUGUGACUGGAGGCAGAGUUAUGUUUCCACAUGCCAUAGCCGGCUCUCCGGCAAGGUGACAUGGAGCUUUAGACAGCUAUAGUCAUACUUUAAUUAUGAAGUAAUUUUCCCCAGAAUUUGUGUAGAAAUGCUCCCAACAGAACAGGACAUCCUGAUGCCAAGCCCAUGCGUACCUCUCUCCCAGGCACGGGGCACCUUUGUGAGGUCAUGAAUUGAUAUUGGCGUAGGUGGACUCACACUCGGUGGGACUCCGGAAGUGGGAAUCCUUCCUCUGGUCCUGACCAGUAUGGUGAGGGGCCUUGGGCUCUGCCCACCCUCACUGAGACAGUUUAAUUUUUUUUUUGGCAGACCUGGGGGUGAACCCCAGGGCUCUCACAUGCCAAGCACAC